GAGGGCAUAGCUCAAGUGAUAGAGCGCAUGCUCAAUACCCAAGAGGUCCUGGGUUCAAUCCCCAGUACCUCCU
RNAcentral lists this transfer RNA (73 nucleotides) under Camelus bactrianus (Bactrian camel). It matches the Rfam family "tRNA". From Rfam's summary of the family: Transfer RNA (tRNA) molecules are approximately 80 nucleotides in length. Their secondary structure includes four short double-helical elements and three loops (D, anti-codon, and T loops). Further hydrogen bonds mediate the characteristic L-shaped molecular structure. tRNAs have two regions of fundamental functional importance: the anti-codon, which is responsible for specific mRNA codon recognition, and the 3' end, to which the tRNAs corresponding amino acid is attached (by aminoacyl-tRNA synthetases). tRNAs cope with the degeneracy of the genetic code in two manners: having more than one tRNA (with a specific anti-codon) for a particular amino acid; and 'wobble' base-pairing, i.e. permitting non-standard base-pairing at the 3rd anti-codon position. Lineage: Eukaryota; Metazoa; Chordata; Mammalia; Artiodactyla; Camelidae. RNAcentral also lists the same sequence under 2 other names. The record is from Rfam by way of RNAcentral.